This is a long non-coding RNA of Tympanuchus pallidicinctus (lesser prairie-chicken), 640 nucleotides long. RefSeq lists it as uncharacterized. NCBI's taxonomy places the organism in Eukaryota, Metazoa, Chordata, Aves, Galliformes, Phasianidae. The transcript is spliced from 3 exons. The record is from RefSeq and is a predicted model, not a curated record.
CUUGCUCACAGUAGUGCACUGGAGUCCAGCAGCUCGCUCUUACUCUCUGAAGUUUUUUACUUGGAAGAUUUCAUGAAGGGAAGACAGCAGGAAAAGCAGGAUUAGCAUGAUGCCAUAUGGCGUGGAACAGCCCCUUGGCCAUUUUGGGUCAGCUGUCCUGAUCGUAUCCAUUCGCUGCCCUUGCUGGCAGGGCAAUAUGAGAAGCUGAAAAGUCCCUAACUUGGUGUAAGGACAGCUCAGCAACAAUUAAAAUAAAUACUGCAGUUUCUCCAGAAUGAACCAAAUUUUGCAUUCCCUUGAGACCCUUGAUAUCUGUUCCUGACAGCCCUGUGGAGCAGGGUGCUUCAUAGUGCUUCCAUGAGAGCUGGAAGCUGCAGAUUACUCAUAAACAAGUCAUCUAACAUCCAUCAGCAAGCAAAGCCACUUACUGGGAUAUUUUACCUAAUAAUACAAAUGACUUAUUUGAGAAUUACAAACCCAGUUCAAAAUAAAAUCAAACUAGCUCUGCUGCAGGUCAUACUCUGAGAUUCUUAGCUUGCUAAAUCAUGGCUUUUACACAGAAUUCUGCAGCUCCACAUCUAAUUCUUUCACUGCCUUACUACCUGUGAGUGUCCAGCUGAAGAUACUUGUGAAUGAUCAU